Long non-coding RNA from Fukomys damarensis (Damara mole-rat), 996 nucleotides. RefSeq lists it as uncharacterized. NCBI's taxonomy places the organism in Eukaryota, Metazoa, Chordata, Mammalia, Rodentia, Bathyergidae. The transcript is spliced from 6 exons. The record is from RefSeq and is a predicted model, not a curated record.
GUUCUCUACUGCAUAGACUCCUGGUGUUGGUUUUCACGAGAUAAUGAAUGUGAUCGCCUCGUGUGUAACUGGAGGUGGAGGAGGCUGGGUCUGAAGUUCCCAGUCCAGAGACCCACAAGCGAGCCAGAACCAGCACCCUUGAGCCCGCAUCCCAGUCCCCACAGAGGAUGAAGCUCCAGACUACCGAUGUGCCGCCCACUGGUGGAGAAAACGCCCCAGCCUGGGGCCAUCUGCUCAUCUUGCCAAUGUCCUUGGGCUCCUGAGAGCAACGGGUCUUUGUCACUAGUUCCAAAAAGAAGAGACAGAGGGUCCCGCAGGUCCAGUCCUUUGCCUGGACUAACAUCUGCUAAGCCAGGGGAGAUGCAAGCCUGGAUCCAGUUCUAGGAUUUAUGUUCUGCAUGGCUGGGCUCCAGUCUCUGCCCCGUCCUCGAUGCGGGGACCCUGGCCACCAUCCUCAGCACCAUCCACAGUAACCCCAUAAAAAUGUUUGUAAAGCGCCCAGCGCCCUGCCCGGACGCCGAAGAACAGUAAUGCAUGUAGGCUCACUCCUCCGGAAACCCCGGAGCAGGCGCGGAGUGAAGGCGACGCCGGACUUCGAGCCCCACUGCCCCCAGCUCAGGGACGUGUUUGCUCAGGCCUGCAUCAAGCGGCGCAUUUGCAACAAGACAGAACGGAGGGCAGGGGACCUGAGCCUGCCUGAGCCCCCUCGCCUGGGAGCAGCCCCUACCCCGACCUCCUCCUGCAGGCAGACGCUGCAAGCGCUUGUUUCCAGCCACAGAAACGGACGGAAGGCACCUGGACAGCUCUGCCUGCCGCUGGAAACAGAAGGGCAGUGGAAACUGAGGCUUGGAGACGGGAGCAAUGCAUUCUAUAGACUCAGGAAGCCCGGGCCGGACCGGGACUCUGCAUUUCUAACCGGCUCCCAGGGACGGCAGAGGGGCUGAACCCUGGGCUGCUGGUGGAGCGACAAAGACGCAUCACUUUACACUUCGCAGG